Molecule: ribosomal RNA, 1341 nt
Filed under: uncultured organism
Description: bacterial SSU rRNA
Rfam family: Bacterial small subunit ribosomal RNA
Source: RNAcentral
GGCGGCGUGCUUACACAUGCAAGUCGAGCGAGAAGCCAAUGUUUGAUUCUUCGGAAGAUACUUUGGUGGAAAGCGGCGGACGGGUGAGUAACGCGUGGGCAACCUACCUUAUACAGGGGGACAACAUCGGGAAACCGGUGCUAAUACCGCAUAACACAUUGAAAUGGAAUCAUUAUGAUGUCAAAGGAGGAAUCCGGUAUAAGAUGGGCCCGCGUCCAAUUAGCUAGUUGGUGAGGUAACGGCUCACCAAGGCGACGAUUGGUAGCCGAACUGAGAGGUUGAUCGGCCACAUUGGGACUGAGACACGGCCCAGACUCCUACGGGAGGCAGCAGUGGGGAAUAUUGCACAAUGGGGGAAACCCUGAUGCAGCAACGCCGCGUGAAGGAUGAAGGUCUUCGGAUUGUAAACUUCUUUGAUUGGGGAAGAAGAAGUGACGGUACCCAAAAAACAAGCCACGGCUAACUACGUGCCAGCGGCCGCGGUAAUACGUAGGUGGCAAGCGUUGUCCGGAAUUACUGGGUGUAAAGGGCGUGUAGGCGGGGAUGCAAGUCAGGUGUGAAAGCCCAUGGCUCAACUGUGGGACUGCAUCUGAAACUGAAUCUCUUGAGUACUGGAGAGGGAAGUGGAAUUCCUAGUGUAGCGGUGAAAUGCGUAGAGAUUAGGAGGAACACCAGUGGCGAAGGCGGCUUCCUGGACAGUAACUGACGCUGAGGCGCGAAAGCGUGGGGAGCGAACAGGAUUAGAUACCCUGGUAGUCCACGCCGUAAACGAUGGAUACUAGGUGUAGGAGGUAUCGACCCCUUCUGUGCCGGAGUUAACACAUUAAGUAUCCCACCUGGGGAAUACGACCGCAAGGUUGAAACUCAAAGGAAUUGACGGGGGCCCGCACAAGCAGUGGAGUAUGUGGUUUAAUUCGAAGCAACGCGAAGAACCUUACCAGGGCUUGACAUCCCUUGACAGCUCUAGAGAUAGAGUUUCCCUUCGGGGCAAGGAGACAGGUGGUGCAUGGUUGUCGUCAGCUCGUGUCGUGAGAUGUUGGGUUAAGUCCCGUAACGAGCGCAACCCUUAUUGUUAGUUGCCAGCAAGUAAAGUUGGGCACUCUAACGAGACUGCCGGUGAUAAAUCGGAGGAAGGUGGGGAUGACGUCAAAUCAUCAUGCCCCUUAUGUCGUGGGCUACACAACGUACUACCAAUGGCUGGUACAGAGGGAGCUAACCCGAGUGGACCAAUCCCCAAACCAGUCCAGUUCGGAUGCAGCUGCAAUUCGCCUGCAUGAAGUGGGAAUUGUAGUAAUGCAGGUCAGCAUACUCCGGAUACGUUCCCGGGCUUGUACACACCGC